This 7634-nucleotide long non-coding RNA is filed under the name Gossypium barbadense (sea-island cotton). RNAcentral describes it as "long non-coding RNA (GBAR_LNC021268)". Lineage: Eukaryota; Viridiplantae; Streptophyta; Magnoliopsida; Malvales; Malvaceae. The record is from RNAcentral.
CUGCGGCGAACCUCGAUUCGAACUCGACUGCGACAGCAACAACCGCACCGUUUUAUCCUUAAACCAUGGCAGAUUCUACGUCCAAAAGAUCUGGUACGAAUACUCUACGAUCCGAGCUAUUGACCCAAACCUCGCUGUGGAUGAUUGUUCCCUUCCUCGCGGCUCCUUAUUGUUCUGGGAUAAAAGGCCGUAUCCUUGGGUUUUCCCAUUGAGUUUCAUGUAUGUAGUGAACUGCACAAAGGCGAUUAAAUCAUCUUUGUAUAUUGAUGCCUCGCGUUGCCCCGUUAACUCUUCCGGUUCUGAUCCGCCACCAGAUUCAUACGUUUAUUUUCUGGGUGAACGAACUUCGCCUCGAGAUUUCGAUGAGUCUUGCAGAAUCGAAGCUACGGUUCCUGUUAUGGUUCAGAAUAUAAGUGGCUUCUCUACUUCGGACAUCUACGAGAAGCUGUUAAAGCCGGGGUUCGAAUUGUCUUGGAGCUUCGGUUCCAAGUCGCAGCAGGCCAGUCCUAUCCAUGCCUUGUAAGUUCAAUAUAAAAAAAAAUUAAUAGUCAUACUUCAUUAUAAUUGUCUGGUUAUAUUCUUUGUAAAUUUAAUAUACUUUUACUUUUAGUAAUCUUUAUUUUUCAGAUUUCAAAAUUUAGGUUCAAUUAUUAAAAUUAUUUUGUUAUAGGGCGAAACCGGAAACUUUUUUUAAGGGAGUCGAAAUUAAUUGUAAUUUUUACGAUAAUAAAAAUGUAAUUUCAUCAUUUUAAUAGUUUAUAUCUUUAUAAUUUUUAAAUGAUUAAAUCAAUUUUUUAUUAUUUUUAAGGGGUCAAAGUAUAAUUUUACUUUUAUUAAUUUAAAAUUUUAAAAACUUUAAAGGGCUAAAAUGAAAUUUUUUUCUGGAGUCAAGGGUUUGCCCUCUCCUUAGGUACGCCCUGAUUAUAAUAUUAUUUUUUAAUUAUAUUAUUAAUAAAUGAAUAUUUUUUAUUUUAAAAUGUUACAUUGAUAAAUUUUAUAAUAUUAACAAUUAAAUUUAAAAUUUGAAAGAAAAAAAAAAGAUAAUAUGAAAUUUUUGAAAAAAUAUAAAGAUUAAAUUUCAAAUUUGUGAAUAGUAACCAGAAAAGAGAAAGAUGUAUAGUUUUUAUUCUUUUUUAUAAAUAUAUAUUUACCAUUUUAAUUUAAAAUGAGGUAUAUUUUCUCGUAAUUAUUUACAAAUAUUUUUCAGGUUAGGAGACUUGGAAUAUGCCUUGCAAAGUUACAUUGACAGCUUCAUCCAUUACUUAUUCAAAGGCCCCCAUAUUGCCGCCCAUGCUUCAUAUUAUGCACCUAAAAGUAUGGUUAAUUUCCAAAACUUCCUUAUUAUUUGUAAUUUUUUUCCUUUUUUUUCCCUUAUAUUCAAUUAAUUAUUUUUUCUUACUUUUAUUGUUUUUUUAGGUACUUAUAUUUUAUGUCUUCAAAUAACAGGUAAGCUUUAAAUUUUAGCUAAAAUGAAUAUUUAAAGAGUUUAUUAGAUAUUUUUAAAAAAAUACUAAUAUGUUGAAAUUUAAUUUUCUUUUUAAAGGAGGAUUUAUCUUAGCAAGGAUUUUGCCCGGGAUAAUUUGCUUGAUUGGACUUGUUAUUUACAAAUGGAGAAGAAGACAUUUAUGUGCAGAUGAUACGAUCGAAGAGUUUCUUGAACGUCAAAAAGAUUUGAUGCCGAUAAGGUAUUCUUAUCGCGAAAUAGAGAAAAUGAGUAAUGGUUUUAAGGAUAAAUUAGGCGAAGGCGGUUAUGGUUCGGUGUUUAAAGGAAAGCUUCGUAGUGGUUAUUUUGUAGCAAUAAAGUUAUUGGGGAAGGCAAAAGGUAAUGGCCAGGAUUUCAUCAAUGAAGUUGCUACGAUCGGGAGGAUUCAUCAUGUUAAUGUGGCGAAACUUACUGGAUUUUGUGUUGAGGGAUCAAAACAAGCUCUCGUUUAUGAUUUUAUGCCGAAUGGAUCUCUAGAUCGGAUUAUAUUCACAAAAGAAAACAAGGUUGACUUAAGUUGGAAAAAGAUGUUUGAUAUUGCACUUGGGGUGGCUCGAGGGCUCGACUACUUACAUCAAGGAUGUGACAUGCAGAUUUUACAUUUUGAUAUCAAGCCGCACAAUAUUUUACUAGACGAGAACUUUACACCAAAAGUUGCAGAUUUUGGUCUUGCUAAACGAUUUUCAGUAGAUGAUAGCAUCGUAUCUCUAACAGUAGCACGAGGUACGAUAGGUUACAUUGCUCCUGAAUUGGUCUACAAAAACCUCGGAGGCGUCUCAUAUAAAGCCGAUGUUUACAGCUUCGGAAUGUUAUUAAUGGAAAUCAUAGGAAGGAGGAAGAAUAUGAACACAUCUGCCGAACACGAAAGCCAAAAAUACUUCCCGUCAUGGAUUUACGAUCGAUACUAUCAUGGAGAAGAUGUAGAUUUGGGAGAUGUUACGGAUGACGAAAAGAUUAUCGUGAAGAAGAUGGUGAUAAUAGCUUCUUGGUGUGUACAAGUAAAACCUAAUGGUCGUCCUUCGAUGAGCAAAGUCUUGGAAAUGUUCGAAACGGAUGUCGAGCUCCUCCAAAUGCCUUCGAAACCUUUUCAACUUCCCUUUGAAGUAGCAACGGCUACUCAAUCCUAUGCUUCAACCAAAGAUCAACCCCAUGAUAGUUCAACUGAUGAGACAUCUGAUUUACUCCAUUCUUCAAAUGAAAUUAGUGUAAGUAUAUUGUAAGCUACCUCUUCAUAUAUGAUUCAUUGACCAUGGUUGGUUUAAUUUGGUUUUUUUUUUUCUUAUAUUUCGAGCUCUGAUAUACUUUAUGAUAUGUUUGUAUAUUAUGGUCGUGUUUAAAAUGCUAUAUAUUUAUAAAAAAAUUUGAUGUAUUAAUAAUUAGAAAAUCUUAUUUUAAGUACUGUUUUUUAGAAAAAUAAAAAUAAAAUUUUUCAUUUUAAAUAAUAUAAAACAUAUAAAUUUAUAUUAUAUUAAUUAAUUAUUAUAUUUUAUAAAAUCUAGUCAACAUAAUAAUAAUUUUUUAAUAUAUAUAAAAUAAACGAUAUAACUUUUUUGGAUUUUUAAUUAAUUAUUUAAAAAACAUAAAUUAUUUUGCUUUCGUUGACCCAUGAUAAUGUUUCGUUAGUUGAUUUAAUUUUUUUAACAUAAAAUGUAUAGAUGGAUAAUGGAUAUACAAAAUGAAAGUAUGGUAACCAAAUUAAUAAAAAAAACUAAACUGAUAAAAAAUAAUUUAAAUAUCAAAAUAAUAAUUGAACUAUAGGAGUCAAAAGCCUAUUAAUUAAUUUUAGGGUAAAUUACAUCGUUAGUUAUUAAACUAUAAAUAAUUUUUUGUUUUGUUCACUUACAAUUUAGUCAUUGAAUUAUUUAAUUUUUUCGUUUAAGUUACUGGACUAUUAAAAUCGAUGUUAUAUGAUUUUUCUGUUUGCUCUUUUUUCAUAGCUAGGUUUGGGUAUCAUGAAUCUGUGAAUCAAAAAUUCAAAUAGCUUAUUUCUCUGAUCUCCGACGUUGACCGUCAGAUUAACUUGGAUCUAAGGUAUAUCUUUUUACUCGUCGCUGGCUAUCGACCCACCAUACUGACUAUCGAAUUGUCACUUAAAAUUCACUGGCAGGACUUUUUUAUAUACAAAAAAAUAUUAAGAACCAAAUCACUUAAAUAAAAAAUUUUAAAUAAUCUAUUGAACAAAUUAUAACUUUUAUAAUUAAAUUAGGAAAACCAAAACUUACUCAUAAUUUAUUCUGAUUAGCUUCACGCGUGGACUUUCACAAAUAUUAAUAAUAGUUUGAAACCUUGGCAUACUCACUCCAAACCAUAUAAAACCAAUCAAAAAUAGAUAUGUUUUGUUAACAAAAUUCUAUCACAUUUUUUCACAAUGCUGAAACUAGAAUUACCUCCAUUAUCAAGCCUCAUCCUCAUCUUCCUUCUGUUUCUAUGUCCCCAAUCUUCCAUCUCCAGGACCCUGCCCAAGCGCUGCGGCAUUACUCAGUGUGGAAACGUUAACAUCAGCCACCCUUUUCGCUUAAAAGCUCAGCCGCCGGAGUGCGGCGACUGCCUCUUCGAACUCGACUGCGAAGCCGAUAUCAACCAACUCACGUUCUUCAGGCGAUAUAAUAAAUUCCAAGUCCAUGAAAUCUUUUAUGAAAAUUCAACACUUACAGUUUCGUAUCAAAAUCAGGUCACCGGUAAUUGCUCUCUUCCACCGACCGGUCGGUUCUACGAAGAUUUUUUCUUUUGUGAGAAGCUUCUCUUCCCGGCAUGGCUCAUUGACGAUGAAUCGUCGCCAGGUGUAAUUGAAGCACAACACAGCUUGGAGGAGUCAAAUGUGCCCCUUUUUCAUAGACUACCAUCAAAUCUUCUCAAUUCUAUUCAAUUACCAAGUGAGGCAUUCUGGGCCACUGGUGGUCGCCCUCCGUUCUUGCUAACAAUCUCCAUUAAUUACCACUACUUGGAGAAUUCAGUUCAGCUUCAUCUUCAAGCCUCAACCAUAGCCAAGAGAAUGAUAAACAAAAAACUUGAUUUAUAACUAGGAAAUCUGGGUUUGUUGAGCAACAUUUUCCGAGUUUUGUUUCAUUUUCGCUAAAUGGAUGAGAAAAGGCUCAUCUGCCAUCUCAGAAAACAAAAAAGAAAAAGAAGCAAGAGAAGAGAAAGAACAAAAAGGAAAAAGAAAAAAGCAGGGUGUUUUUAGCUAAUUACAAAGAGGAUAUAUGUCAGUCACUUACUGUGUUAUAUCAACAAUUCAUUCAUUAGUAAUUAACAAAAUUUUUAAUAGUCAAUUAUCUUAAUUAAAAUGACUAAAUUAAAAAAAAUAGAAUGACCAAAAUAGAAUAAACCCUAUAUUUAGAGUAACUAGUUUAUUUUUUUUGUAAUUUCAUAUUCAUUUCAAUAUCAAUUAUUUCAUUGCCGUUAUGUUUUUAAUUUAGUUUUGCUAUUGUGUUAUUUGUUAUUUUUGUUUUCUUUUAAACUUCUUUAAACUAAAAACAAAGAAAAACAACAUUGCUAUUUUGUCAUAUUUUAAAUUUUUUGAACUAAAAGAACAUGUAUAAUUUUUUGUUAAUUCAAGUCAUUAACUGAAAUUAAUUGGGUUCGAUUAAUGAGUUUAAAAAAAAUUCAAUUUGGUUAAUGAUUAAAAGAUUUAAAAUUUCUGUUAAUUUGAUUAACGAUAGUUUGGUUCAAGUAUUAAUCGAGUAAUACUCCUACCAAAUACUCGCUCAAUCCAAAUACAAAAAAUAUUGUUGAAAUUUGUUGGAGUGUCUCAUACGCACAAUAGAAGGUAUUGUCUUUGUAGGGAUUUUGUCUUCCAUGCUCUAAGGAGAGCCUAAAGGGGUUAACGGAGUUUAGGAAGCGCCUCGAUUGGUAGAGAUAUGGCUUACAAGUUCAUGAAAAAGGUGUCAAUAUUAUGCAAAAUAUUAAUUAUGCACAUUGCACCUAUGGGAUUUUGAGCCACCAACCAAGGCACAGAGGCCUUACCUUUGCAUCUAUGGUAUGAUAUAAUAAUACAAUUACAUAAUUUUAAAUUUAAAAAAAUAUCAAUUAUUAUAAAAAAUUUAUCAAUAAUCCUUGAAAAAAAUUCUCUAAGCAAGUAACAAAUUUUAAAAUUAAAUUAUAGUGUGUAUAUGUUCGUCUAAAGUACUCCACAAUACAAUUACUAAUAAAAUUAACAAGAAAAAUAAACAUUCGAUGCAAUUUUUCUAAUUAUUAUUGCAUCCUAUUUUUGUGUUAUUCCCUUUUUAAUAUUAAGCACAUACUCUUUAUUAUAAUUAGUUGAUCAUUGGUCAAUCAUAAAUGCAUGGAAACUAUCUCUCUCAUCGCUAAAAAUUUUAAAAUAUUCAAACAAGAUUAAUAAAGAAAACAUAUAAUUAUAUUUUUAAAAAUAAAUAUAUGAUCUAAAUUUAAUUAUUAUUGUAUAAAAAAUAUUUUUAAACUUAAAUAACAUAAGAUGUAUUUACAAAAGCUAUAAAAUAAUUAUAUUUGAGUGUAAUUGUUUGUAAUUAUUCUUCUAAUUACCUUAAUUUUAAUUAAAAUACUUCGAUUACAUUCAAUUCAAUGAGAUCAACUAAUAAUAAUUACCAAAAAUUUCACAUAUAUAUAAUUAUAAAUAAUUACAACAAUUUGCAAUUACUAAAUGAUUCUCUAAACAUACAGUUUCUGAAUUUGAAUUUGAUAUUGUGAACUAGAAAUUUGUUAUUAAAACUUUUUAAAAAAUAAGGUAAAUAAUCAAAAUAGUUAUUUGUGUUUCCCUUAAGUUUUAUUUUAGUCACUUAUGUUUGAAAUAUUACGUAUUAGUCAUUUGCGUUAACAUGUUGUAAUAUUUUAGCCACUGAUCCGUUAAUUGCCAUUAGUGGUGUAACGGUAAACUGACAUGGCACGUUAAAUAAAAAAUUUAGGUUAAAUCAAACAAUCGGUCCCUAUAUCAUUUUAAGCAAUUUAUUUUUUUCUUUUAUAUUCUUUUAACUUUCCUUCUCUUUUCCUUUUUUUUUCCCAUUCUCUUUUACUUCUCCGGUUCUCCCUCUAUUUUCCUCUAUUCUUCAUCUCUUUUAACGUAAAAGAGAAAAAAAAUUGCUCAAAAUAAAAAAAUAUAGGGACAAAUUCUAUAAUUUAACCUAAAAUUUUCGUUUGAAAUGAUGAUUUAACGUAUCACGUCAGCUUACCGUUACACUGUUAACGAAAGUUAACCUUCAGUGACUAAAAUAUUACAACACGAUAAUAUAAGUGAUUAAAACGUAACAUUUUAAAUAUAAGUGACUUAAAUAUAACUUGAGAGAAACAAAAUUAAUUAUUUUAAUAGUUUACCUACAGAAAUUAUGAAAUAUAACGUGAUUGUUGCUCCCCUAAUCUCUUAAUAAUAAUAUUGGGAUUUGAUCUUCGUCUAUAAAAAUAAAGCUUAUUUAUUUAGAAGAGCACCUACAAAAAUGAAUUAAUCAAUUAUUAUUAUCCACAGUGGAUACCCAAAUUUCCACCGUACACAUCAUUAAGAUUUGAUCCCAUAAUAUAUGAGUACAAGAUGAACGCUAUUUCCCAAUGAUGUCAAAACCGAACAAUUCGUUUUUAUACACUGCAUUAUUUUAAUAUCAACUUGAUAAAAGGUAUCCCCCAUUCAGUUAUGGCAUUUGACUUUCUCUGUUUUCAAGGAUGGCGAUCUGGUUCAAUAUACUGUCAAAAUUUUUUGUUUCUUUCUGUACCUUCCAAUCUCUCCUCAUCCAGAUUCUGCCAUGCCAAAACCCAAACCACAGCUUCCAAUCCAUGGCCUCGUGGCCGCUAUUGUUGUUUUACUUCAAUUACCGGAACUUUGUGUGGCCAAAACCAGAAACAAAUAUUGCAACUCAACUGUUUGUGGAAAUGUCACAAUCAGCUACCCUUUUCGAUUACCAACCCAACCUCCCAACUGCGGCGAACCUCGAUUGGAACUCGACUGCGACAGCAACAACCGCACCGUUUUAUCCUUAAACCAUGGCAGAUUCUACGUCCAAAAGAUCUGGUACGAAUACUCUACGAUCCGAGCUAUUGACCCAAACCUCGCUGUGGAUGAUUGUUCCCUUCCUCGCGGCUCCUUAUUGUUCUGGGAUAAAAGGCCGUAUCCUUGGGUUUUCCCAUUGAGUUUCAUGUAUGUAGUGAACUGCACAAAGGCGAUUAAAUCAUCUUUGUAUAUUGAUGCCUC